CCUCUUUGAAAAUGUUCUAGGUCAAAAUUUUCCCAUGAUAUUUCAAAUCAACAGAUCACUUGUGUAAGGUUAAAAUCAUACUUGACCAUCAUGGUGGAAAAGUACACAUACACACAACAAAAACAGCUCCAAAAACAACAUUUUGGCUUUUCUUGUAAAAGCACAGCACCUUGAAUGUCUUUCAUAAGGUUCCAAAACUAUCUCACAUUACUAAAAGAGAGGGAAAGAGCCUAUUAUCAGGUUUUCAUGUUAAAUGUUAUUUAAUGAGUACAUUUGUGAAAGAAACAAAUAGUUCAGUUCAAAUGGAAAAGCAAAUGUGCCAUUAGGUAAUAAUUUCAGUUCUUCAAAAAUGUUCACUUGAUUUUUGUAGUGGAUUUAGCAGUAAUCAUUAAUAAUUUUAAGUGAGUUGGUGAAAGUAAAAGGUGGAAUUUUAAAACACAUGGCUCAGACUGAUGGCAGUGAACCACUGAUAACUCAGCAUCACUAAAAGAUAGCCAGCUAGUUCAUGGGCUUUUUUCCUGUGAUCCAGUUAUGAAGAACAUACUACUGCCAGCCAAGUCUUCUUGCUCCCCCUAAUCAAACCUAUAUAUGGUCAAGCCUUUAGAUAUUACCUUUUAAAAUAAUUAUUAAGACAUAUUAAUUGGACAAUGUAAUGGGAUUCAUUCAUGCAUAUAUCAUACUUUGAAGGACAAGAUUAUUUUUUAUAUAGUAAGUACAAGGAACAGAGUGAUGUGUUAAAUGACAGCACAGGAUACAAUCAGCAAAAUCCAGAAUGCAGAACUAUGUAAGACAGAAUACCUAGUUUUUCUUCACAUGAAUAGCAAGAAAAAGAAAAACUGAAAAGGGAAAUAAUAUUUUAGAGAUUUAAAACAAUCAAAUUUAAUGUGUGGGCCUUGUUUGAUCCUGAUUUUUUAAAUAAGGGAAAAAUUAUGAUAAAAUUGAUGGAAUUCAGGUGUUAGCUAGAUAUUUGAUUCUAUUAAGAAAUGGUUAAUUUUUAAAUGAGACAGUAAUGUGGUUUGUUAGAUUUCUAAUCUUUCAGAGAUAACUAUAAGGAACUUAGAUAAAAUUAUACAAUGUCAUAGAUGUGCUUUUUUUUUUUUUUUUUAAGACAAGGUCUUGCUGUGUAGUUCAGGCUGGCCCCGAACUCACUGUGUAGCCCAACUUGUGGGCUCAAACUUGUGGCGAUCCUCCUGCCUCAGCCUCCUGAGUGCUGGGAUUACAGGAUGCACCACCAUGCCCAACUUUAGACUUACUUUAAACUAGUAGAAUAAUUUAAGUUUGAUAAAUGGAGGAUAAGGGUACAAGUAAAAGAAACAAUAUUGACCAUAUGCUGAUUACUACGUGUAAUAACUAGUGAUUCUGGCUUAUGUGUGCAGUCAUCAUUCUUUCUAAUUUUUUGUGUUUGAGUGUUUUCAUCAGAAAACACUACAGGCUUAUCAGUGGAGAACAUUCAGAAUGUGUAGAUGACAUGUGAAGGACAAAAUGAAAUUUUUAUUUUCCAAGACUGCAGAGUUAACCACUACUAGGCUUUUGUUACACCAUCUUGUAGUCUGUUCUUCAAGGCAAAUACCUUCAACAUGCACAUUCAGAAGCAUUUAGAAUACUAUUACUGUCUUUAUUCUGUAGCACAGUAUUUUCUCAUACCACCAAGUUUAAAACAAGUUUUAGAAAACCUGUAAUUCUUGUAAAGGAUCAAAAAUUAUCAAUUAUCUACAUGGAUUACGAUGGUUAAGAGUAUUUGACUUAAUAUUUUUAAAUUACUCUCAAAACAGUACUGUGUGAUUCAAGGAGUGACCUAUGAGUCACAUAGAUGUGGUUACCACAUUAAAAUAAUUAUUUAAUGGUGCCAUUUAUCUGAAAUUAUUUCAGUGGAGCCAGAAUGGAAGUAUAGAUUUUGAGUAAAGAUCCAAAAUAUUCUUAUGUGGCAAAUUCAACUCUUAGAUUUUUCUAGCAAAUUCAAAUGAAAGGAGUGUUUGAAGUUGCCAGGACUUUGAGAAAGAAUGCAUAUGAAGGACCCCCUGUAGCUAAAUUGUGUAACUCUGUAUACUAGGAGAGAAAAAAGAAGAAUGUGUAACUUUUUCCAUGUCUCUUAUUACUCAGAGUAUUCCCCUGAGAAAAUGUGGAGGCCAGGAGAUUGAUUGUAAGGCUACAUGGGCCUAGCUCCUGACAAGCCUUUUCAGACUCUGAAAGAGUAACAGAGUAACUCUGUGGAAUAAAAGGCAGCUCUGGUCAGCCUGAGCCUUGGGGAAAAUCUUAGGUUGGUGAUUUUCCAGAGAGCAGAUUGGGAAAUUAGUGAAGAAUGAAUGCACACCAUGUUUGUGUUUUCCAUUCUAUCUCUCUGACCUUAUCCCUCAGGUCUGAUCUGCUAGGUAAACUAAAUGCAUAUACUGAUAUUCUUGGAGUCUAGUUCAGAAACCUUCAGAUAUAGUGUCCCUCCUGUACCACACCCACCUCUGUGCCAAGCACCAACCCCAUGUAAAAUUUGCUGAACUCCAAAUUAAAGGAAUGGUGUAAAUACCAUGAGUGAAUAUUGGAAAAGGAAUAGUUAUAGCAGAGUGCGUGUUACUUUCAUCUGAGCAUCCCACUACUUGUAGUUCCUCCAAAGCACUGGUAUUUUGCUGUGCGAAACCCUAUUUCAAAAAACCAAAAAUAAAAUCAGAAAGAGAAGAGAUUUUUUAAUGAGGGUUAUCUAAAAGUAUUAAGUUAUCUGACAAAUAGGAAGGAUCUAUAUAGUAUCGCCUAAAAUAGAAUAUGGCUUAAAGACUAGAAUCCUCCAUUGAAAAGGUCCUGAUUAUGUCGUUUUCAGGAGCCAAGUCAGGCAGCACAUUGGUGAGUUUCUGGUAACCCUGUGUCCUACAGGUGAAAUGCUACCACUAUCAUUUUUGCUUUAAGUAACUUGCAAAUGAUC
Molecule: long non-coding RNA, 2908 nt
Filed under: Heterocephalus glaber (naked mole-rat)
Lineage: Eukaryota; Metazoa; Chordata; Mammalia; Rodentia; Bathyergidae
Description: lncRNA (ENSHGLG00000035890.1)
Source: RNAcentral